RNAcentral lists this small nuclear RNA (20 nucleotides) under Arabidopsis thaliana (thale cress). Its description in RNAcentral is "snRNA_09561". Lineage: Eukaryota; Viridiplantae; Streptophyta; Magnoliopsida; Brassicales; Brassicaceae. The record is from RNAcentral.
UACGGACAAGGGGAAUCCGA